RNAcentral lists this ribosomal RNA (253 nucleotides) under uncultured bacterium. RNAcentral describes it as "partial 16S ribosomal RNA". It matches the Rfam family "Bacterial small subunit ribosomal RNA", at positions 524 to 776 of the family's 1533-position model. The record is from RNAcentral.
GACAGAGGGUGCAAACGUUGUUCGGAAUUACUGGGCAUAAAGCGCACGUAGGUGGUCUGUUAAGUCAAGUGUGAAAUACCCCGGCUCAACCGGGGAAUUGCGCUUGAUACUGGCGGGCUUGAGGUCGGUAGGGGUGGGUGGAACUCCAGGUGGAGCGGUGAAAUGCGUAGAUAUCUGGAGGAACACCGGUGGCGAAAGCGACCCACUGGACCGAAUCUGACACUGAGGUGCGAAAGCUAGGGUAGCAAACGGG